GAUUGAACGCUGGCGGCAUGCCUUACACAUGCAAGUCGAACGGCAGCACGGGUGCUUGCACCUGGUGGCGAGUGGCGAACGGGUGAGUAAUACAUCGGAACAUGUCCUGUAGUUGGGGAUAGCCCGGCGAAAGCCGGAUUAAUACCGCAUACGAUCUACGGAUGAAUUCGGUGGACCUUCGUUCCUCGCGCUUUAUUUUUGUCCGAUGGCUGAUUAGCUAGUUGGUUGGGUAAAGUCCUACCAAGGCUACGAUCAGUAGCUGGUCUGAGAGGACGACCAGAAAAACGGGAAGUGAGACACGGACAAGAGACCUACGGGAGGCAGCAGUGGGGAAUUUUGGACAAUGGGCGAAAGCAUGAUAAAGCAAAGCCGCGUGUGUGAAGAAGGACUUCGGGUUGUAAAGCAAUUUUGUCCGGAAAGAAAAAAUUGGAAAUAAUACGGUCGGGGGAUGACGGUAACGGAAGAAUAAGCACCGGCUAACUACGUG
Molecule: ribosomal RNA, 487 nt
Filed under: uncultured bacterium
Lineage: Bacteria
Description: partial 16S ribosomal RNA
Rfam family: Bacterial small subunit ribosomal RNA
Source: RNAcentral